This 468-nucleotide ribosomal RNA is filed under the name uncultured bacterium. RNAcentral's name for it is "partial 16S ribosomal RNA". It matches the Rfam family "Bacterial small subunit ribosomal RNA", at positions 28 to 507 of the family's 1533-position model. The record is from RNAcentral.
GACGAACGCUGGCGGCGUGCUUAACACAUGCAAGUCGAACGGAAAGGCCCUGCUUUUGUGGGGUGCUCGAGUGGCGAACGGGUGAGUAACACGUGAGUAACCUGCCCUUUACUUUGGGAUAACUUCAGGAAACUGGGGCUAAUACCGGAUAGGAGCUCCUGCUGCAUGGUGGGGUUUGGAAAGUUUCGUCGGUUGGGGAUGGACUCGCGGCUUAUCAGCUUGUUGGUGGGGUAGUGGCUUACCAAGGCUUUGACGGGUAGCCGGCCUGAGAGGGUGACCGGCCACAUUGGGACUGAGAUACGGCCCAGACUCCUACGGGAGGCAGCAGUGGGGAAUAUUGCACAAUGGGCGGAAGCCUGAUGCAGCAACGCCGCGUGCGGGAUGACGGCCUUCGGGUUGUAAACCGCUUUCGCCUGUGACGAAGCGUGAGUGACGGUAAUGGGUAAAGAAGCACCGGCUAACUACGUG